Molecule: ribosomal RNA, 405 nt
Filed under: uncultured bacterium
Lineage: Bacteria
Description: partial 16S ribosomal RNA
Rfam family: Bacterial small subunit ribosomal RNA
Source: RNAcentral
AUUGAACGCUGGCGGCAGGCUUAACACAUGCAAGUCGAACGAGUGGCGGACGGGUGAGUAAUGCUUGGGAAUCUAGCUUAUGGAGGGGGAUAACUACGGGAAACUGUAGCUAAUACCGCGUACCAUAGGAUGAGCCCAAGUGGGCUUAGCUAGUAGGUGGGGUAAAGGCUCACCUAGGCGACGAUCUCUAGCUGGUCUGAGAGGAUGAUCGGCCAAACUGGGACGGAGAAACGGCCAGAACUCUUACGGGAGGCAGAAGUGGGGAAUAUUGAACAAUGGGCGCAAGCCUGAUGCAGCCAUGCCGCGUGUAUGAAGAAGGCCUUAGGGUUGUAAAGUACUUUCAGCGGGGAGGCGUUACCCGCAGAAGAAGCACCGGCUAACUCCGUGCCAGCAGCCGCGGUAAUC